ACGCGUGGAACCUUACCAGGUCUUGACAUCCUCUGACAACCCUAGAGAUAGGGCGUUCCCCUUCGGGGGACAGAGUGACAGGUGGUGCAUGGUUGUCGUCAGCUCGUGUCGUGAGAUGUUGGGUUAAGUCCCGCAACGAGCGCAACCCUUGAUCUUAGUUGCCAGCAUUUAGUUGGGCACUCUAAGGUGACUGCCGGUGACAAACCGGAGGAAGGUGGGGAUGACGUCAAAUCAUCAUGCCCCUUAUGACCUGGGCUACACACGUGCUACAAUGGAUGGUACAAAGGGCAGCAAAGCGGCGACGCCUAGCAAAUCCCAUAAAACCAUUCUCAGUUCGGAUUGUAGGCUGCAACUCGCCUACAUGAAGCUGGAAUCGCUAGUAAUCGCGGAUCAGCAUGCCGCGGUGAAUACGUUCCCGGGCCUUGCACACACCGCCCGU
Molecule: ribosomal RNA, 439 nt
Filed under: uncultured bacterium
Lineage: Bacteria
Description: bacterial SSU rRNA
Rfam family: Bacterial small subunit ribosomal RNA
Source: RNAcentral